Molecule: ribosomal RNA, 831 nt
Filed under: Cortinarius canarius
Lineage: Eukaryota; Fungi; Basidiomycota; Agaricomycetes; Agaricales; Cortinariaceae
Description: partial 28S ribosomal RNA
Rfam family: Eukaryotic large subunit ribosomal RNA
Source: RNAcentral
CCCCUAGUAACUGCGAGUGAAGCGGGAAAAGCUCAAAUUUAAAAUCUGGCGGUCUUUGGCCGUCCGAGUUGUAAUCUAGAGAAGUGUUAUCCGCGCUGGACCGUGUACAAGUCUCCUGGAAUGGAGCGUCAUAGAGGGUGAGAAUCCCGUCUUUGACACGGACUGCCAGGGCUUUGUGAUGCGCUCUCAAAGAGUCGAGUUGUUUGGGAAUGCAGCUCAAAAUGGGUGGUAAAUUCCAUCUAAAGCUAAAUAUUGGCGAGAGACCGAUAGCGAACAAGUACCGUGAGGGAAAGAUGAAAAGAACUUUGGAAAGAGAGUUAAACAGUACGUGAAAUUGCUGAAAGGGAAACGCUUGAAGUCAGUCGCGUUGUCCAGGGAUCAACCUUGCUUUUGCUUGGUGCACUUUCUGGUUGACGGGUCAGCAUCAAUUUUGACCAUUGGAAAAAGAUUAGGGGAAUGUGGCAUCCUUGGAUGUGUUAUAGCCCUUGGUUGCAUACAAUGGUUGGGAUUGAGGAACUCAGCACGCCGCAAGGCCGGGUUUUAACCACGUACGUGCUUAGGAUGCUGGCAUAAUGGCUUUAAUCGACCCGUCUUGAAACACGGACCAAGGAGUCUAACAUACCUGCGAGUGUUUGGGUGGAAAACUCGAACGCGUAAUGAAAGUGAAAGUUGAGAUCCCUGUCGUGGGGAGCAUCGACGCCCAGACCAGACCUUUUGUGACGGUUCUGCGGUAGAGCAUGUAUGUUGGGACCCGAAAGAUGGUGAACUAUGCCUGAAUAGGGUGAAGCCAGAGGAAACUCUGGUGGAGGCUCGUAGCGAUUCUGACGUGCA